CACACCGCCCGUCACACCAUGGGAGUCGAUAACGCCCGAAGUCAGUGACCCAACCGAGAGGAGGGAGCUGCCGAAGGCGGGAUGGAUAACUGGGGUGAAGUCGUAACAAGGUAAC
Molecule: ribosomal RNA, 115 nt
Filed under: uncultured bacterium
Lineage: Bacteria
Description: partial 16S ribosomal RNA
Rfam family: Bacterial small subunit ribosomal RNA
Source: RNAcentral